Molecule: ribosomal RNA, 484 nt
Filed under: uncultured bacterium
Lineage: Bacteria
Description: partial 16S ribosomal RNA
Rfam family: Bacterial small subunit ribosomal RNA
Source: RNAcentral
GACGAACGCUGGCGGCGUGCUUGACACAUGCAAGUCGAACGAUGAAGCUGGAGCUUGCUCCGGUGGAUUAGUGGCGAACGGGUGAGUAACACGUGAGCAAUCUGCCCUUGACUCUGGGAUAACUGCGGGAAACUGUAGCUAAUACCGGAUACUUUCACUGGAAGGCAUCCUCUGGUGAAGAAAGAAUUUCGGUCAAGGAUGAGCUCGCGGCCUAUCAGCUUGUUGGUGAGGUAACGGCUCACCAAGGCGACGACGGGUAGCCGGCCUGAGAGGGUGACCGGCCACACUGGGACUGAGACACGGCCCAGACUCCUACGGGAGGCAGCAGUGGGGAAUAUUGCACAAUGGGCGCAAGCCUGAUGCAGCAACGCCGCGUGAGGGAUGAAGGCCUUCGGGUUGUAAACCUCUUUUAGCAGGGAAGAAGCGAAAGUGACGGUACCUGCAGAAAAAGCACCGGCUAACUACGUGCCAGCCGCCGCAGUAA